UGAGGAGGCAUUAAAGAAGAGGAGGAGUGUCCCAAGGGAGGUGAGCUGGAGGCGAUGCAAGGUAGCUGUAGGGUUAGCAAUGACUUUCAAUCCCCUUUGAUUAAUCAUGAGUGUAUUUCAUUUAGUUCCUUUUUUAAAUUUUAUCCUUAUCAGGUCACAUAAAGGCAUCAGCAGGGCAGGGAUCUGUGCUUCGCAAGUCUUGGGAGUCUGACAAAUUUGAUCCCCUUUGUCCCAUGGCUAAAUGCUCCUCUUUCUUUCUGGGCAGAGACCUGUAUAGCUUCUUGGUGCUGAAGGAACCUUGGAGGUAAUCUAAUAUAACUCUUUAUUGUACAGAUGAGAAUCUGGGCUCAAAGAGAUUAACCAACUUGUCCAAAGUCACACAAAAAGUUAGGAGUAAAUGUUCUGACUCACAGUUUUCUUUUCCAACAGGCGGCUGGCCCUCCUUAGCAGGUGGAAGUUUCCUCAGAUCUCAGAGAGCUGCUUUCCAGCAUGGGGUUUGGCACAGAUGUGCCUCCUGAUGGCUCCCAUCAGAACAGGCAUUUCUGGCAAGAGAGCAGCUCUGAUCCCCUGGCUUUCCUGGACCAGGCCCCUAUAAUUCUUUAAUGCAAGAAGCCAGAGGACUGGAAUGAGGAUAUUUACCCCCAGGAUUCAUUUAGGGGAACUUGGCUUUCUUGGCCACAUAGUAUAGUGAAAACUGCCCUAUGCAGACAGCAUGGGGAACAUGAGGAUGGACAAGUGUCACUCUUCACAGGCUAGUAAUUAAUUUUAUUUUUCCAUUUUAAGGAUGGGAAAGAGUCUUUCUACUCCUAAAUUAGAUAUAUCCCUUUAUUAAAUAUAUCCUAAGAUGGAGAGAUCCUUUGAGAGACCAUCCUUGAAGCUGGAUGAGACCAAGCUUUCUGAAAAUUGAGACCCCCUUGUACAGCUUUUGUCCCAGACAUUCGAACCUGAUCAGUUGGAAAGAAGUUUGGUAUUAAAAAUUCAUUCUCCCUAGUACUUUUGGUGAAGUGGAGUCACCUUCAUUCCGGUCAGACUAAGGGCAACGAGGGCACAGUGUCUUACUGAUGAGAUUGACCUCACAGUGGUGGUCUUGUGUUUAGGGCUUUUACUAUCAUUAGUAGCACAGGAGAGAAUUCAGGGAGGUUGUAUGGGAAGAACACUCCUGAUGAGUUUUUUUUUUUUUUUUUUUUUUGGUAUUGGGGAUGGGACUCAGGGGCAUUUAACCACUGAGCCACAUCCCUAGACCGUAUUAUAUUUUAUUUAGAGACAGCGUCUUGGUAAGUUGCUGAGGCUGGCUUUGAACUCACAAUCCUCCUGCCUCAGCUUCCUGAGCUGCUGGGAUUACAGGUAUGUGCCAUUGCACCCAGUGUAAUGAGGUAUUUUUAUGAAAAGUAUGCUGGCUGUACAUGUGGAUUUCUUAUUUUGGAAAAAUGCUAGUGGUCAUCGGCAUGAUCCUUCUAUUAUGCAUCUUUCAGUCUUUUCUGAGUGAAAAUCAGUCCACUUCUGACCAUUAAUUGUUGGGAGGAAUGGAGGAUUAGUAUUACUGACUACCUUUAGUGUGCCAGUCACCCAGGUUUGCCAGAUACUCACCAGAAAUUAAUUAAUUUAAUACUUGUAAUGACUCUGAAAUUAUUACCCCUAUUUUAUGGAUGAGGCUUAGAGUAGAGGCUUAGAGAAGUCUUUUUUAUUUUAUUUUUUUACUAGUUGCUCAAAACAUUACAAUGAUCUUGAGAGAAGUCUUUUUUAAGGUCCCAGAACUACUAAGCAAGACAUUGUGAUUCUCAUAUUUUUGAUUCUUCUCAUUCAUAAAAGAACUCUCAGAGAUAAACAUACAGGCAAUUCAUAAUCAAAAUUUCUUAAAUCAUUUGUGUUAAGAUAGGUGAAAGGAUCUUGCCAAAGUUAGGGACAUUUGUAGGUUGCUUUUAAGUUCAACACACACUAAUAUUUUUGUGAAUGAUUAGGCCUAUUUGUUUUUAUAUAUGGCUUUCCUAUCUUCACUCUACUGCCACUUAUUUAAGAGAGGAAAACAUAUUUUUUAAUUGUACUGAGACUUCGUGUCAAAGCAGUGAGUGAAAAAGUUAUCAUGGAUUUGCAAAUGGGAGGGAUUAUAGGAGGUAGCAUCUGGAACUCCAGGAAAACCCCACUCCUAUCUUUUUCUCACUUUGGCAUGAAUCACAUGUUUUGACCUUUGUUAUUUCCCCCCGUGUCCCAAAAGUCAAGAGCUAAGAAAAGCAACCUUGUUGGGCGGCCAGCCCCACCUUAAAGGCAGGUGAGGGUUAGGUUUAUACAUACCCAGUAAACAUCCAGAAUAAUCCUUCUGGCCAAUAGGACUACUGAGAGGCUCUCUCAAAAUUCAUCCUGGUGGGCCUCCAUCUGUCACUUUUUUCCUCACUCUUUGCCCCAACCAAUUCUGGAUUCAGUAAGUCAGAAGGGAAAAGACCAAGGCAAUUCAAAGAAGUAAAAUGGAAAAGUAAUGUUCAUACAAGGAUAAGAGUGUAGUUCAGAUAUGAUCAGGGUGGAGGUGUAUACUGGGAGGGGGAGAUCCAGUUAGGGAAAGAUUGUACAUGCAGAUUCUCUUUUUAUUCUGGCUACCAGGGAGAUUCCAGUCCCUCUCAGUUUCUCUGGGUUCCCAGUGGCAAAACACAAUAAUAAUAUUCAGCUUAGUCCCCCUCUUUUAGUCUGUUGGCUGUAAAUACAACUGAUUGUCAAAAUUGUCACUGAUAACAAGUGAUAACAAGUCUCCCUCCACGGAAGAUGGAUAAUACUCAAUAUCUCUCAAAAGACUAAGUUUGGAAACACAUUCACAUUGCAGAAGUUUGGUGUUACCAAUUCAUAUAGAAGAGUCUGAAGUUAAACUCCAGAUUUGCAGGUAAGUAUCAGGGAGUUCCAAUAUUUCUAUUGUCCCUCCAAAGACUGACUGGACCUCUAGGCAAGAGGAGGCAUUGAUAAGAAUCUCAAGAGACAGAAUAAGAUUCUCACCUCACCUCCCAAUGAGCACUUCUGCUUGCCAUAGAGAGACAGCGCAAGGAGGAUCUGCUGAGGCAUACCACCAGGUGCUGGGGUCUGAGGAUGGAAAAGUGCCACAGACAUACCCAGAGGCUGCUGGUCUUCUCAGAUGCCGAGUGAAGGGGCAGCAUCAUGGGGACACGAGAGGAAACUGUCCUGGUCUCUAUGCACACUUCCUUUGAUAGAGUAGUUUAUGAAAGUCAAAGAGGACUCUGGGAGGGCAAUGAAUUCAUUCUUUGCCCACAGACAUGAUUUUAAUCAUCAGUUUUUGAUAUAUUCCAGAAAAAGGAGACUCUCUGGUUGUGUGGCAUAGUGGUACCCUUGGAAGCAGGCUGUCUUGUGCUUAUGUCCUGGCUUUGCCACUUACCAGCCAUGUGACCUUGGGCAAUACCUGUACCUCCUUAUGCUUUGGUUUCUUUAUUUGUAAAAUAGCAAUGGAUCCUUGUGAAGAUUAAACAGAUUAGAACAUAACUACUUUGAACAGUGACUUGCAUAUAAAAAAGUUCUCCAAGACUGUAGGACAUCAAUCAUGAUUAUUACUAGUAACUUCUUGCAGUUGCUAAUGAUUUUUUUUUCCAAGGGAAUUUUCAUUUUAAAAUUCUUUUUGCAGAAUCUUCAGAAAGCUUUUCUUUUCCCAACUAAUUGAAAUGGGGAUGACUUAUCAUAGGAUUUAUUGAAGGGACCUCAGGCUGUAUCUAGUCAGUCUUCUUCACCUUACAAAUGAGUCCAGGGAGGUGAUGGGCUCAAAUUCUUAAAGGGCAAAACUAGAUUUGAAACCCAAGUUAUAGUCUAAGAUUUCUUUUUCCAUUUUGUAAUAACUUCAUGCAUAGCAAUUAAACAUUGUCUAAUUUCUUUGUGGCUCACUUAGGGCAACUCAGAAACGGACCAGGCCUUAUCCUGUGGAAGGGGCUCAUCAGUGGUGAUUAUAAUAAACUGUCAUAAUCAUGGCACCUCAUUGGCUUUAUUUUUCUUUACAGCAUUAUCCUAUUGUAGACUUUCCCUUUUGUUGAAAAAGAAAGGAGGGGCGCUAUUGUCUCUGAAUGGAAGGAGGGAAAGACUGUAAGGCAGGCUGUGGCUAUUGAUCCAUCUGUUCCUCAGCAGAGCAGGCUGGAGGCCCUGCUGUGAGGAGCAGGAUCCCUAAUGAGCAGGGUUGUACAGGUUGAGAUGAGAGAGAAGGAGACCAGCCUUUCUUCUUUCACCCAGCAACACGUGCUGCACACCUGCUAUGUGCUCAGUAUGAUGCUAGGUAUCUAUAGGAAUGCAAAAAAUCCAGGGCAGUGUUUGAGACUUCAAGGAAUUUCUUUAGAAAGAGACAGAGAUCACAGACUGAACUGUAGGCAAGCUCUGGAGUUCUUCAAGGGCCUUGUACUCCCACAACAGAGAGAAAACUUCUUGUUCUCUAAGCCCACAAGUUGGGAACUCAGCUUGGCUGGAAAGAGAAAGAUUUUCCAGGUGGCCGGAGGAGAGAGUCGCAGGGAUGUGGACCGGAAGUGCAUGGGUAAUAGAGCACUUUCCUGGGGCAACCAGGUGUCAGGGUAUGGAGGAAAGAAUUCAGAGUUCUUAUGGUUUUGCCACUAACUGGUUGUGUGAUACUGGGGAAUUCACUUCAUUUCUCCAUUCUUCAUGUUCUACUUCUUCUCAUGAAAAGGUUGAAAUCAGGCAGAGGUUAAAGUUUCUCACUGUUCUACCACUCUGUGCGUGUAGGAGUGGAUAUCCUCAUAUGCAAAGAGAAAUCGGCUUUGAUGUGGAGAAAUGGGCUAGGUGUGAACUCAAAGACUUUGAGCUGAUUCUUCCUAUUGAAGAGGGUCAUUGAUGCUGAGCCACCUCUCUGAUUUCCACUGAUAGUGCCAGUGACCCUGGCCCCUUUGUGGUUCUUUGAUCCUUAUUUAUGAACUUGGUGCAUGAAACUCUUCCUCACUGCUUUAGAAGACCAGGGCAGUUAAUCUCCUGCCAUUCACUCAUGAUUAUAGCACAGGAGCAAAGCAAACAUGGUUGAGGUCUCAAUGUAGGAAGAGCCUCCCACAUGAUAGCUAAGACAGCACACACGAGGCUGCAGUUCCUUGGCAUUGUCCCUGUGGAGGCUGGCUUCCCUUUUCAAUGCCUCUGAAUAAUACUUUGUCAGAUGGCAAGUGAAGUUGGAACUUGGCCCAGGCUUGUGACUCCAGCAUGCCCGGUAGCCCUGGAGGCUGAACCCCUAAAGCAUGGUGUGGGCUUGCACACAGUCACCCUACUCCUCAGAUUUCUCUGGAAUGACUUCAUGGAGAGGAGGAAAACUCAAGAACCUCACUUGGGUGGCAUGUGUUUUAUUUUAGCUUCAUAAUUUAUUGGGACAUUGAUCUGCAAGUGUAGCCGAGGCUGCAGCUUGUGUCCUAGAGCGGAGGCAGCUUGGGACCAGCAAAGGAGAUGCAUCUUCCACUUUGUACACCUUCCUUUUCUGGAGAAUCAGUCCAUAGAUAUGGUCACACAAGUUGGGAGAGAGUCAAGGCAAAGGGAUUAACAUGACGACAUCUCAUUUUCCACUUGUCAAUAAUUUAAUUCUGCCUUCAUCCUUUUCAUGUUGUAAGUUUUGAUCUUUUCUGGUCUGCUUCCCUACUCCAAUCUAUCCCCCAGCACAUACUUUGUGCUAAUUAGUGGACUUCCAUCACCUGGGCUUGAAAAAUGAAAGUUUGAGCUACUGUGUAAGACCCCUCAGCAAGAUAAGUAGGAAAAGCAGUUUCCUUUUCCCAACUCACAGAAAAGCUAUUGUUAUUAUGUGUCUUAAAAGUGUACAUUAAAAUGUUAUUUCUAACAGAGGACUCAGAAAACACCUAAAUUCCAAAUACUGGGUGCCCUGUCCAUAUCCCGGCCUUUGCUGAAAUAUCACCUUCCUUGACAUCCUGAUGGAAAAUUGUAAUCUCUCUAGCCCCUUGGCAACACCUUCUCUGAUAUUCUCUCUCUCUCUGUUUUAUUUAUCUAACAUAUUUACUUAUUUAAUUUUGUAUUUAUUUCCAUCAAAAUAUGAGCUUCAUGAACUUCCCAGAGCCAUAUCCCUAGUGUUUCUAAAAAUGUACCUGGCACACAGUAGGUUCUUAAUAAAUUGUUAUUGAAUGAAUAAAUGAAUGUUGUUACAUUCUAUGAACACAACUUUAAUCUCUAAAAUCUAUACUUGGGAUUGAUUUUCCUUCUUAAUAAUUUGUUGCCCUAGUAGUAUAUUUAUACUGACAUUUCUUUUCCUGAAAGCUAUAAAUACUCAUGAGGUUUAGUCCUUAAGCCAGAAAAGGAUAAUUUAAACUUCCUUAGUCUACUCUCUGCAUCCAGGUAAAAAGAAAACUUAUGACGGUUAGAUUUCUUAUUUAAAUACAGAGUUUGGGAGUCUGACCUUAUUUAAAUUAAUACAAGCAAUUGCAUUUGGCUUGACUUCCUGUGUCCCAUCACCAGGUCUUUUUCCUAUUGAGUGUGGCAUGCUGGCUGACUGCAACCUCACGAGCCCUUGAGCAUGUCUCCAGAUAAUGUCUUCAGCAUUUGAUGCACACUACUGUGUGCUGCUAAAUCCAUAAAUGUAUGAGUUUGUGAUGUGUAAAUAGCUUAAAUAAAUAAAUAAACACACCCCAGUGGAUUCUGUAUUCUUGAAGAAUACCCAGAUUAUGUGAUGUCUGAGGUGGUAGGGGGUUAGGAAUUGCUGUUUCACUUAGGAAAAUAUGUUAUUGUGUUUUUUGGUUAUGAAAAUAGCAGGCUCUUGUGGGUUUCUUUGGUGAGAAAGUCUGAAACGUUCCUUUGUGAAAUCAAGUAGAAGCGUUCACCUUUUUCCCUGUCAACCCAAGACUCAAGGCCUGGGUCCUUGGGUCUCAAAGGUGAGGGAAGGAGAGAAAAGAGAAAAAGGUUCCCAUCCUCCCUAUUUUACCAGUGCCACAGCAGGAUAUCCAAGGAACUUAGGGGCAUUAACAUCUGCUCACCACCAGGAAGUUGUAUGUGGUCCUAGAGUGCUUUAUUAUCAACCUGAGAGAAAAUUCCAUUGCAGUCAAUAGCAUUGAGGGAGGGGACAGAAGAGAUUGAGAGAAGCAUCCCUGUGGGCAGAGUCAGCAGCAGUCCUGUGCACCAUCCUGUCCCCUGCAUUCAGCAUGGGGUGCCACGCCUGGCCUUCACUCAUUAAAUCUUUCAUGUACUCAUUUGCUUAAUAUAUAUUUAUUGAGUGCUUAAUAUGUGCCAGACUUGUUCUUACUGCUGGGGUUAAAGCAAUGAAUAAAACAGACAAAAUCCCUGCUAUCAGGGAUCUUGUAUUCCAGUGGAGAAGUGGACGAAAAAUAAACAAGUAAAAUACACAGCAUGUCAAAGGGUAAUAAACGCUACGGAGCAUCAUGAAGCAGAUAGGAAAGACGGUGUUUGCUGGAAGAACAAAUGAAGUGCACUGACAAAAAAAUUAAAGCUGUCCAGUCCUAUCAUUUCAAUUAAUAUUGGGGGAAAUGUGUUCUGUUGAAGAGUAGGAAAGGAGCCUUGACUCUGAGUUUGUUCACCUUGUCAGCCUGGAGAAUUUAUGAGGCAGCACGUACUGUCUGAGACACUGCAGUGUGCUAAGACCCUGCCUAAAGCAGGGAAGGCUGUUUAGAAAUUAAUUUCUAUUCUUUGCACAGUGGCUCCUGUACCUUAAUCCACCACAGAGUUUUUUGGGUUUUUUUUUUUUGCUCAUUUUUGAAUGCAGGGAACUGUGGAUAUCAUAUCUUGAUCUGGUUUAUUGCCUCUGUAUAAGCGAUAAGUGGGUGACAAUGGAAGAGACACACUGAGACAUUUUGCCUCACAGUGCGAAUGUAGGAGGGUGCUAAAGUUAGCAAUUCUACAGACUUGACAGAAACCCGUAGAAUUUCUCCAGUUCUCACUACACCAGCCCUAGACCCCUGUAGUUGCCAUUCCAGGCAGGCUCCUAAGAAGGAGAGAAAAAGGCAGUGAAUCGGUGAGAACUGCCAGAGACUCCAGGGGUGUCCAGUAAGACACCUCCUUUGAUAAGCAUCAGGAGGAAGGGACAUGUGGGCUCCUUGUCCAUGUGUGGCCUGGGAGGAAAGUAGAGACACCAACACAGUGUCUGUUAUGACUCUUGAGAGAAGGCACAGAGAGAGGCUCAGUGGGGCUGGGGGCUGAAUUCAGGGAUAGUGUUGGUGAGGGUCAUGUCCUGCUGAGCCUUGCUUUGUUGAGGCCCUGGGUCCUGCCUUACUUGCCUAGGAGAGGGCAAGAUAGAUGAGGAAGCAGAUCCUCUGCAUGGCUUCACACAGGGACCCCUCUGCCUUCCAGCUGCCCCCAGCUGCUUCCUUCUCUCAGUUAACACCUUCUGUAUGAUGCACUUGUGCUAUAGCUCCUGUCCCCAGCCAUCCCAUUCCCCUGAGGAGUCUUGCCAACCACAGAAGGCUCACAGUACCUGCUUCCUGUUGAUGGGAUGACAGUGCUUCUUUGAGAUGAAUGAUGUAGUCCCAUAAGUAAAGCCAGCUGAGGGGAGCUUGUUUGAUUGAUAGCAAGGUUUCUGUUUCCUGCCCUAGAAGUUAAAUUCGAUAUCAUUGCUCCAUUUCCAAAUUAGAUAUACAUGGUGUAUACUCUGUGGUGAUGUUAACAGUUAAUAUCAAGAAGAAGAAUUAUUGACAUUUACAGCUGUAAUCAAAAGAACCAUCAAAGGAAGAGAUCAAUACUACUGCACAAAGACUCUGAGGAUGUUGUAAUGAUCGUUGUGUUCCUUGCAAACUCCCUCUAGGCAAAGUUGGAUAAGGGUGAUUCACCCAUGUGUAAAAGAGCAAUUCAAUGAAACACUGUCUCCAAGUUUGAACCAGUUUCCUGAUCUUUAUUGAGCUCAUCUAUCUUUUUUUUUUUUUCCUUGAAGGGUACCUAUACUGAAUUCCACAAACAAAAUAUUGUAAAAAACAAACAAAACAAAACAUAGAAAUCACCACUACAUUCUGGUUUAUGACAGCCUCAAUUUAUAGAAACUUCAAAAGAAGGAAGUAUUUGAAUUUUUGGACAUAUACUUUGGAAAUUAAAAACCAAUAAUUUUUGAAAUUUCAAAAUUGAACAGGUAAACUAAUAAUGGGAAUUAGGAAGUACAGCCAAAACAUGGAAGAGGGUCACUUGGUAAGCAAAAAAUCAAGGGCAAAGGUGUCUUGCAGUGUCUAGGGAUGGGCCCAGGACCUCGGAUCCUAUGCUAAUGGAGGAAAAAUGUGCUUAAACUUUCUUGACUUCACCAUUGUGACUGAGAAAGACUGUGAGGGAAUUUAGGUAAGGAUGGUUCAAGUUCACCUGCGCCCUGGUCUUUGCUCUUCCCACACACCUCUGUUGCAUUUUAUCUAAGUAACUACCCUGCCCACUAUUUCUGCAGGACUAUAAGUAAGUACUCAAGGAGACCACAUUACUUGGUAUUAAUGUUGUGUCAUCAUUACCCACCUGAACCACAUCGAGGUGCUCACUCUCUUUAAUUCUUUGAAAGUUACCAAGGUCUACCUCUCAGGACUUAAUACUUGAUCUUUUAUAUCAAGUCAUCUAGCUCUGGGAUCAGCCUAUAAAUCUAGGCCUUCUUACCUUAUCACUCUGCAUCAGACCCUGGAGAUUUACAAAUGAAUGACAAACAUGCUCUUGUCUCUCACAGGGCUUAUGUUGGAGCAUAAGAACCAAUCACCACUUAAAUAUUUGCAUAAUCAAUUUUUCUGUUGCAGCUCUCUGUGAUAAAUAUUCUACAGAAGUGGGAGGAUCAUGAGAGCAUAUUAGAGAAUCCAGGUUCCAGUCAGGAGGGCAGGGAAGUGACUUUUCAAUUGAGACUGAGUCUAUUAUACUUCCAGAUCCACUCUGCUUCCUACUACUCCAGGAGGUUGACCUUAAUGGACUGUAUCUACUUGGUUCCCUCACUUCCUGGUAUCCCAUUUGGUCUAGCCAAUGGGAGGCACCAGCAGGAGUCUAAAAGGAAGGAGGAGAGCGAGGUGGGUGUUCUUACCCUAAGUUCUUCCUGCCAGGCGCGGGUUGGCAGAGGCUGCCUUCCUCUGCUGGAGACUACAGCUCCUCUCUUGCAGCUGCACAUUUCAGUAAAGGCUGUUCCCCACCAUGCUUCAGGCCUAGGAGGGCAGGUAGGAGCUCUUGCCAGCCCCUGGGUGUUUCACCUUUUUUUUAUUGUUUUCCCAUAAUCCUGUGUAUUAGUUUCCCACAGCUGCCUUAAAGUAUCACAAACUGGGUGAUUUGAAGCAAUAUAAAUUUUUGUCUCACAGUUCUGGAAGCUCAAAAUCUGAAGUCAGGGUGUUGACAGGGCCAUGCUUCCUCUGAAACUUGUGGGGGAACACUUCCUUGCCUCUUGUCUCUUGCUGGCAAUCUCUGGAGUUCUUUGGCUUGGCUUGCAGUUGCUUAACUAUAGCAUCUUGCCUCACUGUCACCUGGUGUUCUCUUGUGUAUCUUUGUCUUCAGGUGACUUCCUUAUGAGAACACUAAUUAUAUUGGGUUUGGAACCACUAUACUCCCCUCUGACCACAUGGUAGCUAGUUACAUCAUCAACUACUUUAUUUCCAAAUAAGGGUCACAUUUUAAGUUAUUAAGUGUAUUUUAGUCAUCAUUUUCAUUGCUGUGACCAAAAGACUCAACAAGAACAAUAUCAAAAAGGAAAAGUUUAUUCUGGCUCAUAGUUUUAGAAGUUCAGUAUACAAAUGGUGAAUUCCACAGUCAUGGACUUGAAAUGAGGGAGAACAUCACCACGGUGGUUAUGUAUGGGCUCAGCAACAUGGACUUCCACUCAUCAAGGCUGACCUGCUGAAGGUCCGGUUUGACAGCAGCAGAGACUGACACUAAGCCUCUCAUGUAGCAUUGUCUCUCAGGGAGAUCAGCCAGCAACCUGGUGGUAGGUUGAUAUACUGGACCACUUCUAUCAUGGAAGGGGAAACAGUUUGUCCAUCCUGGAAUGAAUUUAUCUUCUCUGCACAUUAUGCUUCAGCAAAAAUCACCAUCCGUGUACUUACAGAAUGCCUUAUCCACUGUCAUCUACACAUGGCAUUGCUUCUGACAAGGAGCUCACUUCACAGCCAAAGAACUGUGGAAAUGGGCUCAUGCGCAUGGAAAUUUACAGGCCUUCCCAUGACCCCACCAUCCUGAAACAGCUGGUUUGAGAGGACAGUGGAAUGGCCUUUAGAAGAUACAGGUACAGCACCAGUUAGGUGGCAAUACUUGCAGGAGUGGGGCAAGAUUCUCUAAACCUGCAUCUACUAUAUGGUACUGUCUCUCCUAUAGCUAGGAUUCAUGCAUCCAAGAAUCAAGGGGUGGAAACAGGAAUGGUAUCACUCACCAUUACCCCUAAUGAUCCACUAGCAAGGGUUUUGUUUCCUGUCCCCUCAACCUUAUACUGUGCUAGCCUAGAAGUCUUAGUUCCAGAGGGAAAAUGCUUCUACCAGGAGGUAUGGCAAUGAUUUCAUUAAACUGGAAGUUAAGAAACCCCUCGGCCACUUUGGUUCCUCCUUCCUUUGAGUCAAUAGGCUAAAAAGGGAGUUAUGGUGUUGGCAAAGGUGGGAUUGAUCCAGAUUACCAAAGGGAAAUUGAAGGCAAGGAAGAGUAGGCCUGGAGUGCCGGAGAUCCCUUGAGUGUCUUUUUACUUCAACAUGUCCUGUUACUAAGGUCAGUGGGAAGCUACAACAACCCAAUCCAGGCAGGAUGAAAAAUGUCUCAUACCCUUUAGGAAUAAAGGUGUGGGUCAUCCCUCCAGGGAAAGAACCAAGAUCUGCUGAGGUUCUUAUUGAACACAGAGGGAAUACACAAUGGGUAGUAAAAGGAGGUAGUUAUAAAUACCAACUAUGGCCAUGUGACCAGUUACAGAAACAAGGACUGUAACUACCAGGAGUAUUUCUUUCCUAUUUUGUUAAUAAUAUCUUUGUUCCUAUAUACACAUCCAUUAACUGGACAUGUUUGUUUACUCUUAUUUUUUCAUCAUGUAAUGUAAUUUUCUAUAGUUUACUCUGAGAUUUGUUCACUGAAAGUGCUUAUGUAUUGUGUAAGUGGAGGUUACUCUCUCCUGCAAGUUUUCUUUUUUAAAAAUUUGUUCUUUUUAGUUAAACAUACAAUAGAUUGUAUUUUGACAUAUUAUCCAUACAUGGAGUAUAACUUCCCAUUCUUGUGGCUGUACAUGGUGACAGAGAGGGCUGGUAUGAACAAUAAAUCAAAGCCCAGAGGUGGAAGACAGUGCAGGAGAGGGAAGGAGGUGACAGGGGAAGCUUGGGGUGGGUGUGGCUAGGAGAAGUGCUCCCCGAGGCAGAGAGAGGCAGCUGCCCCUGCGCCAAGAGGGAACUUGGACAAAAAUGCUCCUGUCCUGGGGUGCUCAGGUGGGAGGCAGAAAGGCCUGCCAGGGCUCUGCCCUCAGACUCCACCUUAAGUUCUGCGAAGGCUGUGUUCCUUCCGCCCAGUUAUUCUUUAGGUCACAAUUUCUCAGGUCCUGGCCACUUUCUUUUCUUGUGACUUUUGUGAGGAACUAAUUUUUUUCUCUACCAUUUGUAAAAUGGGGGAUAGCUCACAAGGUUUCUGUGAGAAAUAAACGAAAUUAUAUUUGCUAACACUUGUUUCAUUGCUUAUCUAUGUGAGUUUUCUCCUUGCCAACAAAACAAAAAACAAAACAAACAAAAAACCAAUGAUACUUGAGAUUUGAACAGUUAGUAGGAGAAGCAAGAGCAGUUUGGGGGUAGUAUCCAUCUUCCCCCUAAUCAUCGACAGUCUCCUACUACUUGCCAUCUUACGCUCUCUUAAAGGCUGUGAAAAUGCAGCCUCAAGGCAAGUUCUGGAGGCAUCUUGCAACAAGAUUGCCAUCCCCCAGCUCCUCAUUUGUAGAAAUUGUGGAGCUUCCAUUGCACGUAGUGUUUUACAGUUACAGAUGUGGCCUUGCACUUGCUGUUGGGUCUGUUUUUAUCUCCUGUGUUAUCCCUCACUGGUCCUCAAAGAUGCUGACUCAAGCGACCUGAUUUCUGCCCACAGGAUGUCUGACCUGAAAGCAUGUCGCUGUCCACAACAGGAGAGCAGAAGAACAGGAAGCAGCUCAUUCCAAGAUCAGAGCUGCAGGAAGGACCCAGGUCUCUGGGCUGUGGCCCUGAAGUCAGGCUCUGUCGGCACAGGAACUGCUGUUCCCUGCAGCCUUCCCACACAGGGUUGGGGAGAUGCAAACUGCCACAAGCGUGUCUUGCUUUUCUGUUAGAGUAAGAUGACUGUAAGGUUGAUGUGGUUAAUAUUUCAUUUUCAGGGCCAGGGUGCUGGCUGGGAGGACCAGGCAAAUCAACUGACAGUCAUGGAGGAAGAUAUGUUUAUUGGCUUCGUCGGGAACGGAAGGACAAAUGAAAGAUUUGAGGGCAGGAGGGACCUCAGCGAGUCUUCUAAUCCCUGUUUCAGCCUUCACUCAGCCAUGUUCUCAAGCAGAGAGCUGCUUUACCUGUUCUUCAAACAUGUUCCUUAAAUUUACCUUCCAUUUCUUUUUUUAAUUUAAUUUUAACUGAUACAUAAAAUUGUACAUAUCGAUGGGGUACUAUGUGAUAUUUUGAUACCUGUAUAUUCU
RNAcentral lists this long non-coding RNA (13510 nucleotides) under Marmota monax (woodchuck). Lineage: Eukaryota; Metazoa; Chordata; Mammalia; Rodentia; Sciuridae. The record is from RNAcentral.